CCUACGGGAGGCAGCAGUAGGGAAUAUUGCGCAAUGGGCGAAAGCCUGAUGCAGCAACGCCGCGUGGGUGAUGAAGGUUUUCGGAUCGUAAAAUCCUGUUGUUAGAGAAGAAAGUGAGGGAGUCUAACUAAUAAGCACCGGCGAACUACGUACCAGUAGCCGAGGGAAUACGGAGGGUGCAAGCGUUAGUCGGAAUUAAUGGGCGUAAAGAGCACGGAGGCGGUUUAUUAAGUCUGAUGUGAAGGCCUACGGCUUAACCGGAGAACUGCAUUUGAAACUGGAAGACUUGAGUGUGGGAGAGGUGGGUGGAACUCCUGGUGUAGCGGUAAAAUGCGUAGAGAUAAAGAGGAAUACCAAUGGCGAAAGCGACUCGCUAGAACGUAACUGACGCUGAGGUUCGAAAGCGUGGGUAGCAAACAGGAUUAGAUACCCGAGUAGUC
This 440-nucleotide ribosomal RNA is filed under the name uncultured bacterium. RNAcentral describes it as "partial 16S ribosomal RNA". It matches the Rfam family "Bacterial small subunit ribosomal RNA", at positions 338 to 795 of the family's 1533-position model. The record is from RNAcentral.